Molecule: ribosomal RNA, 375 nt
Filed under: uncultured bacterium
Lineage: Bacteria
Description: bacterial SSU rRNA
Rfam family: Bacterial small subunit ribosomal RNA
Source: RNAcentral
UACGUAGGUGGCGAGCGUUGUCCGGAAUUACUGGGUGUAAAGGGAGCGCAGGCGGGAGAGCAAGUCAGCUGUGAAAACUAUGGGCUUAACCCAUAGACUGCAGUUGAAACUGCUUUUCUUGAGUGGAGUAGAGGUAGGCGGAAUUCCGAGUGUAGCGGUGAAAUGCGUAGAUAUUCGGAGGAACACCAGUGGCGAGGGCGGCCUACUGGGCUCUAACUGACGCUGAGGCUUGAAAGUGUGGGGAGCAAACAGGAUUAGAUACCCUGGUAGUCCACACUGUAAGCGAUGAUUGCUAGGUGUGGGGGGUCUGACCCCUUCCAUGCCGCAGCUAACGCAAUAAGCAAUCCACCUGGGGAGUACGGCCGCAAGGUUGAA